AUGGACGGUUAUGAUAAAUUCUUAGAUUAUAGUUUUAUUUCGUGAAUAAACAUUUAAAAAUUGGUUUUAAUUAGUGGAGGAUAGAUGUGUAUUUUUACCACCACGUAAUUACCCCCCAAAUACCCAAAUCCCGUCAAUCUCGGCACUCAAUUAUUUUUAAGAAAGUUAUGGAAGAAUAUACACAUAUUUACCACACACACCAGCACACACAUUUACACACACACACACACACAGGGCACUGCCGCCCUUUUGCCCAGGCGAAGAUGGCAGCCGCCAGCCACCUCGGCUCACCGCCUUCACCACAAGCACCUUCAUAUCCCUCGUCUCUCUGCCAUGUAUCUAUUAUUUCUUUUGGUUUUUUCGUUGUUGUUGCUCAGCGAUUUCGAAUUAGGGUUCUUUCUCGAAGACAUCGGUUCUGCUGAAAUCGAACAGUUUGCACAUCGAAGAGGAUGUUGAAGAAAGUAGGAGUCUUCGCCAAUCAAUGAUCCCAUACCGAAUACUUGCAUUACAAUAUGCGGUGUUUCUGAGCUCGAUGCUUGUGCUGAUGUCUGUGCUCGAAUUGUGUUAGGUUAAUAUGAAAUAUUGAAUUUGUAUAAUGUUUAUUUUUUAUUCAGAAAAUUUGUAUUUUUAUUCGACAUCUUAUAGUGACAUAUUCAUUAUACUGUAUUCGUUGUAUUAGUUAAUUUAUUCAGUUUCUUGUUUUACUUA
Salvia miltiorrhiza (redroot sage) is the source of this 708-nucleotide long non-coding RNA. RefSeq lists it as uncharacterized. The record is from RefSeq and is a predicted model, not a curated record. The transcript is spliced from 2 exons. NCBI's taxonomy places the organism in Eukaryota, Viridiplantae, Streptophyta, Magnoliopsida, Lamiales, Lamiaceae.